AUGCCGCUAGUGACAGAUAAUCUGCAUUUAAGGCUACCAGAGGUAGCUCGUGGUCCUGCGAGUGGGAGGAACCACAUCAUAUUGAUAGUUGCAUCUGAUGUGCUGGUGCUGAACAGUGCUAUUUUCGCGAGCCCCACAUGUUGCACUCGCUCAUACAGCAGCAUGAUGCAUGUCCUCUGGUGUCUAUGCAUUGCUAGUGUAGAUGUGCCCACUAGUGUCCCCUUUACAGAUGCACCUAGUGUGUGGUUCAGUGAAUCAUGUAGACAGAACAGUACAGUGAAUCCAUAUCUCCAGUCUGAUCCAUGUACAUGUCUGUUUCAGUUUAACUGUCUGUAG
This 336-nucleotide ribosomal RNA is filed under the name Triticum aestivum (bread wheat). RNAcentral's name for it is "partial small subunit ribosomal RNA". Lineage: Eukaryota; Viridiplantae; Streptophyta; Magnoliopsida; Poales; Poaceae. The record is from RNAcentral.